RNAcentral lists this long non-coding RNA (165 nucleotides) under Coturnix japonica (Japanese quail). RNAcentral describes it as "lncRNA (ENSCJPG00005002785.1)". The record is from RNAcentral. Lineage: Eukaryota; Metazoa; Chordata; Aves; Galliformes; Phasianidae.
CGGGGAGGUGGCACCAUGAAGCGCUGCUGGCUGAUCUGAGCUGCUGUUGUGUUGUUGUGUUGUUGUGUUGUGUUGUGCUGUUGUGUUGUAUUGUUGUGUUGUUGCAUUGUGUUAUUGUAUUGAUUUAUUGUUGUGUUGUUGUUGUAUUGUGUUGUGUUGUUGUUG